Molecule: long non-coding RNA, 239 nt
Organism: Cotesia glomerata
Lineage: Eukaryota; Metazoa; Arthropoda; Insecta; Hymenoptera; Braconidae
Exons: 2
Source: RefSeq, a predicted model, not a curated record
UUAUAGCGUUGCAAAAUGUCUCGUUCUUUGGUGCCUUAUCUAAUUGCACUACUGGUAAUUUCAAUGAUAUUAAGUGCCAAUGCGUCUACUAAAUGCAAAAACGUCGCUUGUACUACAGAUACUGAAUGUAAAAAGUGUAAGAAAAAUUAUGAAUGUACUUUAGAUUGGUGGAAAUUGAAAUCUAAAUGCGCUCGUGCUGAACCAUCGAUUCUUAUCCCACGGCGGAUUUCUUAUAUUUA